RNAcentral lists this non-coding RNA (134 nucleotides) under Desulfosporosinus sp. The record is from RNAcentral. Lineage: Bacteria; Bacillati; Bacillota; Clostridia; Eubacteriales; Desulfitobacteriaceae. RNAcentral also lists the same sequence under 1 other name.
GGGAAAUCGGUGCAAUCCGAUGCGGUCCCGCCACUGUGAUUGGUACAAGCCUCCACAAGAAUCCACUGUCGUAUGAUGGGAAGGAGUGAAGGUACGCCAUAAGCCAGGAGACCUGCCUAUUUAUUAAGGAAGCU